Molecule: ribosomal RNA, 357 nt
Filed under: uncultured bacterium
Lineage: Bacteria
Description: bacterial SSU rRNA
Rfam family: Bacterial small subunit ribosomal RNA
Source: RNAcentral
ACCUGUCCUUCGGGACAGGGGACAGCGGCGAACGGGUGAGUAACACGUAGGUAAUCAACCCCUGGCUCCGGGAUAGCCCGAGGAAACUCGGAUUAAUACCGGAUGGCCCAACAGCUCUUCGGGGCGGUUGGAAAAGGUAGCUUCGGCCUCCGGCCAAGGACGAGCCCGCGGCGGAUUAGCUAGUUGGUGAGGUAAUGGCUCACCAAGGCGACGAUCCGUAGCUGGUCUGAGAGGACGAUCAGCCACACUGGGACUGAGACACGGCCCAGACUCCUACGGGAGGCAGCAGUGGGGAAUCUUGCACAAUGGGCGCAAGCCUGAUGCAGCGACGCCGCGUGAGGGAAGAAGGCUUUCGGG